Molecule: ribosomal RNA, 1341 nt
Filed under: uncultured bacterium
Lineage: Bacteria
Description: partial 16S ribosomal RNA
Rfam family: Bacterial small subunit ribosomal RNA
Source: RNAcentral
GACAAACGCGUGGCGGGCGUGCUUAACACAUGCAAGUCGAACGGAAAGGCCUUUUCGGAGGUACUCGAGUGGCGAACGGGUGAGUAACACGGUGGAGUGAUCUGCCCUGCACUCUGAGAUAAGCCUGGGAAACUGGGUCUAAUACCAGAUAGGACUGCUCUUUAGUGUGUGUGGAGGAAAUUUUUUUCAGUGUAAGAUGACCCCGCUCCCUAUCAGCGUGGUGGUGGUGUAAUGCCCUACCAACGCCGAGACGGAUAACCAGACUGAGAGGUUGGUCCCCCACGUUGGAACUGAUAUACCGCCCCUACUCCUGGAGGAAGCAGUGAUGAAUAAUAUUGGAUGGUGGGCGCGAUGCUGAUGCAACGCACGCCGGAGGAGGAUGACCGCCUGUAGAUUCCAAACUCUCGUCACGAAGGAACAUGUGACUUGGUGUCGCUGCAAUAAAAAAAGACCCACCUACUACCUUGCCUGCCAGCAAAUACAUAUGUAGGGUAGCGUGCCCGGGCUUGUACUGUCUGUACGGAGCGAGCUCGUAGUGGUUUGUCCGUCGUCUGUGAAAUUCCACAGCUUAACUGUGGUCGUGCAGGCGAUACGGGCUGACUUGAGUACUGUAGGGGUAACUGGAAUUCCUGGUGUAGCGGUGAAAUGCGCAGAUAUCAGGAGGAACACCGAUGGCGAAGGCAGGUUACUGGGCAGUUACUGACGCUGAGGAGCGAAAGCAUGGGUAGCAAACAGGAUUAGAUACCCUGGUAGUCCAUGCCGUAAACGGUGGGCGCUAGGUGUAGGGGCCUUUUGGGGUUUCUGUGCCGUAGCUAACGCAUUAAGCGCCCCGCCUGGGGAGUACGGCCGCAAGGCUAAAACUCAAAGGAAUUGACGGGGGCCCGCACAAGCGGCGGAGCAUGUGGAUUAAUUCGAUGCAACGCGAAGAACCUUACCUGGGCUUGACAUACACCAGAUCGCUGCAGAGAUGUAGUUUCCCUUGUGGCUGGUGUACAGGUGGUGCAUGGCUGUCGUCAGCUCGUGUCGUGAGAUGUUGGGUUAAGUCCCGCAACGAGCGCAACCCUUGUCUUAUGUUGCCAGCACGUUAUGGUGGGGACUCAUGAGAGACUGCCGGGGUUAACUCGGAGGAAGGUGGGGACGACGUCAAGUCAUCAUGCCCCUUAUGUCCAGGGCUUCACACAUGCUACAAUGGCCGGUACAAUGCGCAGCGAGCCUGUGAGGGUGAGCUAAUCGCUUAAAGCUGGUCUUAGUUCGGAUUGGGGUCUGCAACUCGACCCCACGAAGUCGGAGUCGCUAGUAAUCGCAGAUCAGCAAUGCUGCGGUGAAUACGUUCCCGGGCCU